Molecule: small RNA, 582 nt
Filed under: Pan troglodytes (chimpanzee)
Lineage: Eukaryota; Metazoa; Chordata; Mammalia; Primates; Hominidae
Description: processed transcript
Source: RNAcentral
AACAGGGAGAAUAUGACAAGAUUCAAGAAGAGAUUUUUGAAAUCAGAUACAAAAUGUUUAGUGUAAAUGUUUCAAGUUUGGAACAGGAUAUUUAGAAUUGCAAAAAAUUUAUCUUAUCCACUGUGAAAGGCAUUUAUAUGUCAAGAUGAACUGUCAAGGACUGAGGCUGGAUGCUUAGAUUAUUUUCCCCCAUCAAUAGAUGCAAGAGGACAAACCUUAUCCUUCAACUGAAGUGUGUUACAUGUCUAGGUAAUUCCUGCACUUCUGUCUUGUUGUUAGAGGAACAGGAGAAAGAGCCGCGGUGGCUGACAUUACAAUCCAACUGGGAGAGCCUCAAUGGGACCACUUUACAUGAACUUCUAGUAAAUGGGCAGUCUUGUCAGAGCAGAAGUAAAAUUUCUCUUCUGUGUACUAAACAAGACUGUGGGCGCCGCCCUGCUGCCCGAAUGAACAAAAGGAUCCUUGGAGGUCGGACGAGUCGCCCUGGAAGGUGGCCAUGGCAGUGUUCUCUGCAGAGUGAACCCAGUGGACAUAUCUGUGGCUGUGUCCUCAUUGCCAAGAAGUGGGUUCUGACAGUUGCCC